Molecule: unclassified non-coding RNA, 430 nt
Filed under: fungal sp.
Lineage: Eukaryota; Fungi
Description: partial internal transcribed spacer region
Rfam family: Eukaryotic small subunit ribosomal RNA (bases 1-46)
Source: RNAcentral
AAGUCGUAACAAGGUUUCCGUAGGUGAACCUGCGGAAGGAUCAUUAACACGUAUCCACGUUUUAACAAACUUUAUCAACAAAUCGACGAACUGUAGCUCCCUGCUGAAUCUAACUGCGGUGUCGUAAUCCUGUCUUGGUGGGUCCUAGUAAACAUGUAGUCUUCGAGACUUGUGUUAGGCUACAGGCUGGCAGGCAUCGACUAUUCACACUUCGACUGUGAGCCAAAACACUUUCAGCAGGCUUACUUACUCUAUUCUCGCGUGUAGAUACUACAAUUCUUACCAUCAUAAGGCCGAGUUUAGAACCCCAUACCAAUUUCACCCUUCUUUACCCAUUUGACUAAUUAUUAUAUUUUUAGGAGAAAUCCUUUGAAUUACUAAGAUUUAUCUUAACUAAGCACAACUCUUAGCAAUGGAUAUCUUGGUUCUC